GGCGGAUGUAGCCAAGUGGAUCAAGGCAGUGGAUUGGGAA
Molecule: transfer RNA, 40 nt
Filed under: Fragaria corymbosa
Lineage: Eukaryota; Viridiplantae; Streptophyta; Magnoliopsida; Rosales; Rosaceae
Description: partial tRNA-His
Source: RNAcentral